CCUUGUGCAGCUGCUCUGCCUCUAGUGAGAUCUGUGUGGGCCCCCUGCCAUUGUGUAACCUCACGAACAGCUCAUGUCAGAUGUGUGACAUCAAGAAUGCUAAACAAGGCAACGAUGUUGAAGUGGUAAAUAAAGAGCAAAUGAAAGCCUACAGCAGAAGGAAAUCCAAUCAUAGCAUCUGGGAAAUAUCCUCUCCAUGGUCUUUUCUAAGGCCAGCAGCAGGAGUCAGGCACCUAUUUCCCAUUGCAAUUGAGGCACCAAUGGAAAUCCCAGUGGGCAUCUCAAUGGAAAUAAAAAGAGGAACCAAUAUGCUAACCCUAUGGCUGUUCUACAUCUUGAUUUUACUGAAAAUGUGUGUGUGUGCGCCAUGUAGAACUCAAGUAUUUUGCAGCAGUGCUUUGGGCAAAGCUCCCUGCCACAGGUAAGAGCUCCACCUGUGUAGAGCAGAAUGAAAAUAUACAGGUGUAUAUGCACAAAAGCACAGAGUUUCUAGGAAUAAAUAUUAUCUUCUAUUAGGCAAGUUAAUACUAGUUUAGAAGAAACCAGGUGAGCUUUCUGUGGAUAAGCCCAUGUAUCAGCUGCUGACCAUCAGUGUUGUAACAGCAUUAUGCAAUCACAGGAGAGAUGAAAAAAGAAGGUGAAAUAUUUUUACAAGGAACUGGUUAAGUCUGUAAUUUAAGUAGCUCUACAGCCCAGCUCUGUCAGGUAAGUGCCAGUCAGUGGCCCCUGAGGACAGCAACACAACAGUGAAUUCAAUAUUUAACGAAGAGCACCAACACGAGCCAAAUUCUUUCCUCAAUUAUGUAGAGACGGCUCUGGUCAUUUCACUGUAAGAGGAAAGUGGCAAACCAUUAAAAUUAAUAUUGAAUUCCUUUACAUCUAACCCUUGGGAAGAUAUUUGUAUGUAUAAGCUGUCCUUAGAAAAGAUUCUUUUUGUAAGAUCUCUUUUGGAGCUAAGGGUGUAUCGCACAGGCGAUGGCGCAGGUAAGCAGUUUGCUUUUAUUUUUGCAAGCUUUGUGUUUUGCUAGCAUUAAAGCCUGACGGCAGACAGCACAGUGGGAUUUGAAAUAGUACAGGGGCCCUAAUCCAAGGGAAGUUUAGAAAUAAAGUCUGCGAUGCUUUCUCAGCAACCUCUUCUUAUUGCCCCCCAUGUCCAUGUUGCUUCUGCUGGAUUUUUACUAGUAGCAACAAGAGUACACAUGAGGUUGUUUUGUGCUUUGUCACCAAUAUCUCUACGCUUCUGAUUUGCUUCCAAAUUUGAGAGUGUGAAGGGAGAUUCUAACCCCAGAAAGUCAUCAUAAGUUUUGCCUGGGGCUUUAGUAGUGCCAAGAUUUCACUUGUUCUGUGCAAGCUUUAAAUACUGGCAUCAUUUUUUCUGGUCAUAUGCAGAACUUACACUAGGAAACUAUUCACAAUGUUAAAAUCACUGAGGAUGUGUGAGCCACUUGGGAGCCUGUUGCUCUGAAGGAAAUCAAACAGAGGCUUUGUGCUUGGUCCAGGUUGCAAGUGGCCUUGUCAAAGAUCACUGAGAAGCAGGAGCUGCUUUCAUCAGCUCUUCCUGGAUGUUAAGGUGUUGGUGAAGGAGUGGAAGUACCAACACAUCUAUGUUCACUUCAGGAGCACCCCAUUAUUGGGUCACAGGGAGGAGCAAUGCACGUCUACGUAGCAGGAAACAUGAGACUACGCCCUGUUGGCACCCUGCAGGGUCCCUAACAGGGCAAGAAGGAGCCAACCUCUGCCAGGAAUCCUAAACUAAACCAGGCUCUUUGGGACCACACAGACAGCACACACAGGUGCUGUGCUGCACCACGCCAGCCUUGGUGCAAGAGUGAUAAUUCUGCAUCUGGAGGCUGGCUAGCCCUAGUCCCAUCAGCUCACCAGUACACGUGGCUUUUGGUAACUUGGGGAGGUUUCAGGUCAGAUGGGAAUAUCCCCCAAAUCCUUUCACUGUGGAACAUGGAGAGUUUUUUAAUGGUGGGUGUUUGCACAAGAAAUGCCUCACAAAUCCAGUCUUAACACAGCUGUGCAGCCGAUAUAUUCCCUUUGUUACACUAACCUGUAAAUACUUUUUAUGUGCAAUUCAGGUUACUCAUAAAUUAUUCCCUUUACAAAUCAGGCACCUAUAAAUUAUUCUCUGUAAUUGAAAAUUACCUAUGAAUUAUUCCUUUUGUUAUCCACAUAUAUGUCAUUUAUUCUCUAUUAUAUUGGCAUUACUUUCUUGGAUAGAUAAGCAUGGGGCUGACACCAACACUGUAAUUCUCAAAAGCCAAGGCAGCACCAUACAGUGUGGGAUAGUCCAACAAAGUAGAUAUGGACUUGUGUGUGGAGAGUCUGUGUUACAUAGUCCAGAAAAGGGCCUCCAGUACCAAAUGGAUUUUUGGGCUAUUUUAAGAAAUUUCAUCCUAACAUUGUAAAGAUUGUAUUUUAUAUUUAUUUGUUUAUAAAAAGAAAUAUAUAUGUUAUAUAUGGAUAAAAAUUGGUCAUUCUAAUGUCAUUUAUUUUCUAAUAAAUGUAAGUGUAAGACAUUUCUAUCUCUGCAGGCUGUGCUUGUCCUGUUUCCUUCCCCUCGGCUCUUGGAUAGUAUUUAGAGACAGACUCAUUUAACUGGGCUCUUCGGAUGUCAGAGGGACAUUAGCAGAGUCUGUUAAAACUGAUUAAUUGCUUAAGUUAGGUGCUGUACUGUAAACAAGCAGUGGUAGUGCAGAAAAUUCAUAGCCAGUCAACAGCAGUGUAAAGCCCAGAGCAAGCAGAACAAGCGUUAGCUAAUUAUCAACACAUGCCCUAGUUGCUUAAUAGCUCUUUUCUUGAGAUUUGCAAUUGGUAUCUGCUACUGCUACUCCGGGAGCACUCUCUCCUUCCCCUGUAUAACACAGAUCACAGCCUGAAAGCAAUUUUAUCAGUUUGUUUGCUGAUAUGUAAUAGAAAGAGAUUUUUCUUGAACACUCAGUGGGUGACAAAGUCUGAUGCGACGGGACACAGAGAAGACACGGAGGUGUGUGAGCUUGUAACCCUGGUGCAAAUAAAAGUUCUUGGUAUUCCAGCUCCUUCCUCAAGGAAGGGAAUGCAGUCCCUUGCAUGGAGCAAGGCGUUGCAUACUGAGUAAGCUCAGUUCC
Molecule: long non-coding RNA, 3113 nt
Organism: Anas platyrhynchos (mallard)
Lineage: Eukaryota; Metazoa; Chordata; Aves; Anseriformes; Anatidae
Source: RefSeq, a predicted model, not a curated record